This is a non-coding RNA of Lepisosteus oculatus (spotted gar), 786 nucleotides long. Lineage: Eukaryota; Metazoa; Chordata; Actinopteri; Semionotiformes; Lepisosteidae. The record is from RefSeq and is a predicted model, not a curated record.
AAAUGCAUAGAUCGGAAUUCAAUUCGAAAAAGCAGCCCCUUAUACCACUGUGACACCUGCAGGAUGGGUGUGGCACUGGCAGUGAAAGAGAGGUGCAGUCCUAACUAGGAGCGACAGGGGUCUCUCUCCAGCACAUUUCUCUUGAUUCGACCAGCUGGCCGCAAGCUAAACGAGUCCAGCGAACAGUUUCGUAGGAGAAUGUCACUGUGUUAGGUUGUCUGAAAAUUCUUGGCCGUUAUAUACUUUAUGUAUGAUUUGGUGAGUUCAAGUUUCUUUUUAUCUUCAGUAGCGUGAGUGUUGAGUCCUUGUAACCGAGCGCACAGCUGUCAUUCAGGAGCCGAGCCCGCCCCCAGAGUGACCUUCCUCAGCGGACACGCCCCGUCCACCUGUUCCACAGGUGCGCCCGGCAAGAUGGCAGCGGGGAGAGUUUCUGUGGCGUGAGGACGCCGAAAUGAGUGUCCUGUCCGUUUGGGCGUGCUCUCGAAGUUUUAAAAGUCUGCAUUCAGCGUUCUUAUACUACCUUUCAUGUGAUAAAAGGAUUUCAGGACCGGGGCUUCAGUUAUGAAAAAUUGUUUUUUCCAAGUUCUGCGGCUCCUGGUUCUCUGCGCUCCGGCGAUCUCCUUUCCAGCUCCACUCCAGCAACUCGACGAGCGUUGGCCAAGUUCUUCUCGACAAUGUGUGCUUUUUGUUACAUUUGAUUUCUGUUACCAGUGGCUUGAUCUGUAAUGUCCUGAUUCAGUGCUGUAUUUUAUUCUUGACCUGCAUGUUUUCUGUUGACUGCUGCUA